GCGCCUGUAGCUCAAUUGGAUAGAGCGUCGGUCUACGGAACCGAAGGUCACAGGUUCGAAUCCUGUCAGGCGUA
Molecule: transfer RNA, 74 nt
Filed under: Planctomycetes bacterium RBG_13_50_24
Lineage: Bacteria; Pseudomonadati; Planctomycetota
Also listed under: 3 other names
Description: tRNA-Arg
Rfam family: tRNA
About the family: Transfer RNA (tRNA) molecules are approximately 80 nucleotides in length. Their secondary structure includes four short double-helical elements and three loops (D, anti-codon, and T loops).
Source: RNAcentral